GCAGUACCUCAGCUCUUGGUGAGCAUUGAGGGAGGGUCUUAGUGUAUCCCUGAGAGUCAGGCUUUCUGAGUCUUCACCUUAGCAACUGGAAUAUUUUUCUUGGAUUUGCUUGGACAGUUGGGAUUGGCUUUAUCAACACCCACUUUUCCUUUACUUCCUCUUUUACAUAUACAGUGUCAGAAGCAGUGAUUAGUGAGAUUUAAUGUUGGUAAGGAAAAAUAUCCAAUUAACUCAGUCUUUAAUGUCUGAUCUUCUAAAACAAAAGCAAGCUCUUUGUUUCCAAUUAAUCAAAAUCACCUCUCUAUGUAAGCCGGUUUGGAUUAUUCAGUUUCCUGAGUUUGCUAUUCAUUCAAAUCAUUUAUAGUUACUAUACAAGGGUUUAUGCGUACAUAUUACCUUUCUACCUCAGAACACAAGUGCUGCUGAAGCGCUCUGCAAGGCCGUGUUCUCACAGUGCAGUUCCAUUAGAAUCUAGGUAUUUCCCCAUGUGGUGAAAUUUAAUAGUUAGAAGCCUCCAAAUUCAAAGUUAAUUUACAGUUCAGAUCAAACUUAGUAUGGCUGUGUAAUCUCAUGAUAUAUAUUUGUAACUUUGUAGCUACUUUUAGAAUCACUUGACUUUGCUAUGGUGCUAAGUUGAUAGAUCUAAGUAUUCAGCGAGGUGGACAUUGCAACCGAUGUCCUAGCUGGGCGCCACCGCCCCAACAGCCCUGCUUCUGUCACCACGUUAACCUGUUAAACCUCAGCAGCAAAAAUACCUAUUUUUCUAAGAUUCCAUCAUCUGCCUGUCUGCACUGCAGACGGUUUCCUGAUGCCCUUCUGCCCUUUGGUCUGACCUGUAGCCUUACCUCGCUCAGAGAUGAAGCAGAGUGAGCUUGCGUCAGACGGAAGCUUCCGGGCGCCUUGUUUCACUCCUGCCAAGCUCCACGUGACAUCCAAGGCCGAAUUUUAUUUUUCCAGCAUGAACACUCGGAUCACUUAGCGAUUGGUCCUGUCGAGCUUUCUCAGCAGGCAGAGCUCCUGCGAAGUUGUUUUCAUGGCUGCCGAUGCUAGAAAUUGGGUGUGUCCAGCCGGCAGCUCUGGGACCAGCCUCCCAGCACGUGGUCUCGCGCAACACCAUUUUCACAAAAAUAGAAAACUCAGAUAGAAUAUAUAAUAUUGAAUUUAAGAUUUGGGGGGUUAAAAAAAGAAAACUUAACUUUAUAAAAUUAUUUAUUCUAUUUUAAGCCUUCUAUCAUAUUUUCCCAUCCAAUUGUUUGGUUUCCGUGGUCCAGCUUUAUUUACAGGCAUAUAAGAUAAAAUUGUGAGAUGUUUUGCAAGCUUCUUUUACUUUUUGUAGCCUUUGGUUUGUGUGUUUUUAUAGGGAUGAAGAGCAUUUUUAUGCUUUUGUGCAAUAGGUUCCAACAUACAUGGGUUUAUUAGUGUUUCAGUUGUGGUCCGGCAUCUACUAAAUUGAAAGGGAAUGUAGGUGGGAUUUCAGAAUCUGUGCAUUUGGCUGUUUGGUUUUGCCUUUUUCACUGUUGUUAUAAGAAUGCUGUUACUGGGAUUAUGUGUGUGUGUGCGCGCAUGUGAGAGAGAGGGAGUGUGUAUGUGCGUGUGUGUGUGUGUGUGCGUGAGUGUGUGUGUGUGUGUGUGUGUGUGUGUGUGUGUACUUUCUAUCAAUAUUAAAAGAUAAGCAUCCAGGCAGGAUGUGAUGAGGUUAGCACCAUCUUAAGCUUGCACCGAUGUGGUUGCAACCAAGUCCUUGAGCUAAGUCUGUGACUGAGCUACCCUGGGCUUGGGUUUCACGGUCUUCACCGGGUAGUGCUGCCCUCCACUGGCCUGCUGGCUCCUGACGCCUGCCCUGGCCAUCAGUCGCUGGUGUGUUUUGUUGCUAAGGCAUACAGGGUGGUGUAUCACAGUGCUCUGAAAUGUAUCAUUAGAUUAAAUGUUCAGUGAUGAGCCAGCUGAGUUCUACUUUGUAUAUGGGUGUUAAAUAUGUUCUUAAAUCAUUGAAAGUAAAUUGAGUGCAGAUAGCAAAAUCCCCUCACACACACACACACACACACACACACACACACACACACACACACUUGUCUGUUUCCUCAGGAAAUCAUUUAAACUCCAACAUCACAUGUGACCUUAACAUGAAAACAGAAGUUUUCUCUGCCUUGAUAUUAAAUACACCAAGUAAAUAAACUGAGAUGCGUAGAUUAGGAAAUCACGUAAUUGUACCGUGAUCUGCAUAUCUUGCAUUCCUGCAGGCAGGGAUUGGACCAUUCAGGCUUUCUUCAGGAACAGCUGUGUGGGCUGUGGCUCUCACACCCAGUGUUCCUGUUGUCAUUUACUCCCAUCCAAGAGCACAUUUGGAGAAAGAACUGAAGUGUGCCUGUGAGAUGUGUGUGUCAUUUUAGCCAGUGACUCACACUCACUGUUUAGUUCCAGCUCUCAACUUGUGCCAGACACAUUUUUCCCAAGUGAAAGAGCAUCAGGUCACAGACAGCAGCUCCACCCAAGCCCUCACGUUGGAGUGCAGCCACAGCUAGCAACUGUCAUGGUGUAUGAAAUGGUGCAGAUACAGAUUUCUUGACUGUUUAAUUUGAAAGUUUACAUUUUUUAUGAUUGCGUUAGUGUGUAAUUUUUGUACCAUCAGUGGCUAGUUUUUGUCUAAGAUCUUUUUUGGAAUAUUGCUUAAUGUUUUGAUUUUAUGAUAGUGAAGCUUGUAUUCAGUGUUUUGCCAAUUAAUAUUAUAUGCUUGUAAUAAAAGCAGAAGAAGAGCCUAACUAAAAUCUCCCAGUCUGGCAAUGUUUUACCUAAAGUAUUUGUAAGGGUUUGACAGAUAAUGUGUUACAGAAUGUGAUCAGGCUUCUCCAUCUCACAGGCUCAGCCAUCCAGGGAUAGAAAUUACUCAGGAAAACCAAACAAACAAACAACCCCUCCCCAAAACCCAUUUUUUUUUCUGUUCUCAUUCCCUAACUAUAGUAUAACAAUUGUUUAUAUAGCACUUGCUUUGUUUUGUUUGGUUUCGG
This 3005-nucleotide long non-coding RNA is filed under the name Rattus norvegicus (Norway rat). RNAcentral's name for it is "long non-coding RNA NONRATT009684". The record is from RNAcentral. Lineage: Eukaryota; Metazoa; Chordata; Mammalia; Rodentia; Muridae.